Molecule: microRNA precursor, 51 nt
Filed under: Chlorocebus sabaeus (green monkey)
Lineage: Eukaryota; Metazoa; Chordata; Mammalia; Primates; Cercopithecidae
Description: miRNA (ENSCSAG00000027326.1)
Source: RNAcentral
CUGGGUUCUCUGUGUGUGUGCAUGUGCAUGUGUGUGUGCGCAUACACACAU